Molecule: ribosomal RNA, 253 nt
Filed under: uncultured bacterium
Lineage: Bacteria
Description: partial 16S ribosomal RNA
Rfam family: Bacterial small subunit ribosomal RNA
Source: RNAcentral
UACGAAGGGGGCUAGCGUUGUUCGGAAUUACUGGGCGUAAAGCGCACGUAGGCGGAUAUUUAAGUCAAGGGUGAAAUCCCGGGGCUCAACCCCGGAACUGCCUUUGAUACUGGGUAUCUCGAGUCCGAGAGAGGUGAGUGGAAUUCCGAGUGUAGAGGUGAAAUUCGUAGAUAUUCGGAGGAACACCAGUGGCGAAGGCGGCUCACUGGCUCGGUACUGACGCUGAGGUGCGAAAGCGUGGGGAGCAAACAGG